This 2859-nucleotide ribosomal RNA is filed under the name Clostridioides difficile. Its description in RNAcentral is "23S ribosomal RNA". It matches the Rfam family "Bacterial large subunit ribosomal RNA". Lineage: Bacteria; Bacillati; Bacillota; Clostridia; Peptostreptococcales; Peptostreptococcaceae. The record is from RNAcentral.
UGGUCAAGUUAUUAAGGGUGCAGGGCGGAUGCCUUGGCACUAGGAGCCGAUGAAGGACGUGAUAAGCUGCGAUAAGCUUCGGGGAGUUGCACGUAAACUUUGAUCCGAAGAUUUCCGAAUGAGGAAACUCACUUAGAGUAAUGUCUAAGUAUCAUUAAGUGAAUACAUAGCUUAAUGAGGGGAACUCAGGGAACUGAAACAUCUAAGUACCUGAAGGAAGAGAAAGAAAUUCGAUUCCGUAAGUAGCGGCGAGCGAACGCGGAUUAGCCCAAACCAAUAAAGUUUUCUUUAUUGGGGUUGCGGACAUAUCAUAACGNNNNNNNNNNNNNNNNNNNNNNNNNNNNNNNNNNNNNNNNNUAUGAUCCAGAGUACCACGGGACACGUGAAACCCUGUGGGAAGCAGGAGGGACCACCCUCCAAGGCUAAAUACUACCUAGUGACCGAUAGCGUAUAGUACCGUGAGGGAAAGGUGAAAAGAACCCCGGGAGGGGAGUGAAAUAGAACCUGAAACCCUGCACUUACAAGCUGUGGAAGCACAUUUCUUGUGUGACCGCGUACUUUUUGUAGAACGGGCCAACGAGUUACGUUAAGUAGCAAGGUUAAGCACUUAAGGUGUGGAGCCGUAGCGAAAGCGAGUUUUAACUGAGCGUUCAGUUACUUGACGUAGACCCGAAACCGGGCGACCUACCCAUGAGCAGGAUGAAGCGAAAGUAAAAUUUCGUGGAGGUCCGAACCCACGAGCGUUGAAAAGCUCGGGGAUGACUUGUGGGUAGCGGUGAAAUUCCAAUCGAGCCCGGAGAUAGCUGGUUCUCCCCGAAAUAGCUUUAGGGCUAGCCUCAAGGUGAGAGAUACGGAGGUAGAGCACUGAAUGUCCUAGGGGGUAUUGCACCUACCGAAGACUAUCAAACUCCGAAUGCCGUCAUCUUAUACUUGGGAGUCAGACUGUGGGUGAUAAGAUUCAUAGUCGAAAGGGCAACAGCCCAGAUCGUCAGCUAAGGUCCCUAAAUGUAAGUUAAGUGGUAAAGGAUGUGGGAUUGCACAGACAACCAGGAUGUUGGCUUAGAAGCAGCCACUCAUUCAAAGAGUGCGUAAUAGCUCACUGGUCGAGUGAUCCUGCGCCGAAGAUUUCCGGGGCUAAAACUUACUACCGAAGCUACGGCAUCAGUAAUGAUGGGUAGGGGAGCUUCCCAUACGGGUUGAAGCAUGACCGUAAGGACAUGUGGACAGUAUGGGAGUGAGAAUGUUGGCAUGAGUAGCGAGAUGUGGGUGAGAAUCCCACAGGCCGUAAACCCAAGGUUUCCAGGGGAAGGUUCGUCCGCCCUGGGUUAGUCGGGACCUAAGCUGAGGCCGAAAGGCGUAGGUGAUGGACAACAGGUUGAUAUUCCUGUACUACCGAUAACCGUUUGAGAGAAGGGAUGACACAGUAGGAUAAGCUAAGCACACUGUUGGUUAUGUGUGCCCAAGCAUUGAGGCAGUCAAAGUAGGCAAAUCCGCUUUGAUAAUGCUGGGAUGUGAUGGGGAGCGAAAUUUAGUAGCGAAGUAGCUGAUUUCACACUGUCAAGAAAAGUCUCUAUCGAGGUUAAAGGUACCCGUACCGCAAACCGACACAGGUGGGUGAGGAGAGUAUCCUAAGGCCAGCGAGAGAACUGUUGUUAAGGAACUCGGCAAAAUGACCCCGUAACUUAGGGAUAAGGGGUGCCACCAUCAGGUGGCCGCAGAGAAUAGGCCCAAGCGACUGUUUACCAAAAACAUAGGUUUCUGCUAAGUCGCAAGACGAUGUAUAGGAGCUGACGCCUGCCCGGUGCUGGAAGGUUAAGGGGAUCUGUUAGAGCAAUCGAAGCAGUGAACUUAAGCCCCAGUAAACGGCGGCCGUAACUAUAACGGUCCUAAGGUAGCGAAAUUCCUUGUCGGGUAAGUUCCGACCCGCACGAAAGGCGUAACGAUUUGGGCACUGUCUCAACAACAGACUCGGUGAAAUUGUAAUUCCGGUGAAGAUGCCGGAUACCUGCGACAGGACGGAAAGACCCCAUGGAGCUUUACUGUAGCUUGACAUUGGGUCUUGGUACUACAUGUACAGGAUAGGUGGGAGGCUUUGAAACCAGGACGCCAGUUUUGGCGGAGCCAUCCUUGGGAUACCACCCUUGUAGUACUGGGACUCUAACCAUAGGCCAUGAAUCUGGUCUUGGGACACUGUCAGGUGGGCAGUUUGACUGGGGCGGUCGCCUCCCAAAAGGUAACGGAGGCGCUCAAAGGUUCUCUCAGUACGGUCGGAAAUCGUACGUAGAGUGUAAAGGCAAAAGAGAGCUUGAUUGCAAGACAUACAGGUCGAGCAAGGAUGAAAAUCGGACUUAGUGAUCCGGUGGUUCUGCGUGGAAGGGCCAUCGCUCAACGGAUAAAAGCUACCCUGGGGAUAACAGGCUUAUCUCCCCCAAGAGUCCACAUCGACGGGGAGGUUUGGCACCUCGAUGUCGGCUCAUCACAUCCUGGGGCUGUAGUAGGUCCCAAGGGUUGGGCUGUUCGCCCAUUAAAGUGGUACGCGAGCUGGGUUCAGAACGUCGUGAGACAGUUCGGUCCCUAUCCGUCGCAGGCGUAGGAAAUUUGAGAAGACCUGUCCUUAGUACGAGAGGACCGGGAUGGACGUACCUCUGGUGUACCAGUUGUCCUGCCAAGGGCAUGGCUGGGUAGCUAUGUACGGAAUGGAUAAGCGCUGAAAGCAUCUAAGCGCGAAGCCAACUUCAAGAUAAGAUUUCCCACCGCAAGGGUAAGACCCCAGAAAGACUAUCUGGUUGAUAGGUCGAAGGUGUAAGUGCAGCAAUGUAUUUAGCUUAUCGAUACUAAUAGGUCGAGGACUUGACCAAU